GAUGAACGCUGGCGGCGUGCUUAACACAUGCAAGUCGAACGAAACACCUUAUUUGAUUUUCUUCGGAACUGAAGAUUUGGUGAUUGAGUGGCGGACGGGUGAGUAACGCGUGGGUAACCUGCCCUGUACAGGGGGAUAACAGUCAGAAAUGACUGCUAAUACCGCAUAAGACCACAGCACCGCAUGGUGCAGGGGUAAAAACUCCGGUGGUACAGGAUGGACCCGCGUCUGAUUAGCUGGUUGGUGAGGUAACGGCUCGCCAAGGCGACGAUCAGUAGCCGGCUUGAGAGAGUGAACGGCCACAUUGGGACUGAGACACAGCCCAAACUCCUACGGGAGGCAGCAGUGGGGAAUAUUGCACAAUGGGGGAAACCCUGAUGCAGCGACGCCGCGUGAGUGAAGAAGUAUUUCGGUAUGUAAAGCUCUAUCAGCAGGGAAGAAAAUGACGGUACCUGACUAAGAAGCCCCGGCUAACUACGUG
RNAcentral lists this ribosomal RNA (481 nucleotides) under uncultured bacterium. Its description in RNAcentral is "partial 16S ribosomal RNA". It matches the Rfam family "Bacterial small subunit ribosomal RNA", at positions 28 to 507 of the family's 1533-position model. The record is from RNAcentral.